RNAcentral lists this unclassified non-coding RNA (3095 nucleotides) under Homarus americanus (American lobster). RNAcentral describes it as "n-terminal kinase-like protein, transcript variant X4". The record is from RNAcentral. Lineage: Eukaryota; Metazoa; Arthropoda; Malacostraca; Decapoda; Nephropidae.
UAAUAAAUCAUGAAAAUCGAAUACAUAAGAAAAUGAGAACAUUUUUGGAUGACUGUAGCUAGUUGACGAGCUUAUAAACUUUGUGUUGUGUGUUGGCAAGUUAGGAGCUCUUCAACACUCCCUGUGUCAGCUUAGAACAAAAAAAAUACAAAGUCAGAGAAUAUGUGGUCAAUAUUUUCCCGGGAUCCAACCAGUUCCUUCCCUUAUGAGUUAGGAGAAGAAGUUAGAUGUGAAGAUAACCGGACAGUGUGGAAACUCCAUCGAGGCAAGAAAAAGCAAAAUGGAGAAGAAGUAAGUCUCUUCUUGUGUGAUAUAAAAGAUGGAAAUUCAGCAUAUUUGGACGUGGCGAAGGCUGCCGUUAAGAAACUUAAAACUCUCCGCCACCCUUGCAUCCUUACGUAUAUUGAUAGUUUAGAGAGUGACAAGUUGGUGUACCUGGUAACUGAGUCUGUAACUCCUUUAUUAACAUGGCUGAGUGAUGACUCCCUCUCUCCGGCACAUCGCACAACUGCUGUGUCCUGGGGACUGCUUCAGGUCACUAAAGGACUAAGUUUCUUAAACAAUGAUGGAAAUUUGAUCCACUACAAUGUAUGUGCAAGUAGUGUGUUUGUUACACGUGGUGGAGAAUGGAAGUUAGGGGGUGUGGAGUACUCCAGCAGUGAUUCAUCCACAUUCCCUGUCAAAAUUAUCACAAAAUUAGACACCUAUAAUCCACCCGAAAAAAAUGACCCAUCAAAAAUGCGCAAAUCAAGUAAAUGGGCAGCAGACGUGUGGGGACUUGGAUGUCUGAUCUGGGAAGUAUUUAAUGGGUAUCUCGACCAGUCUAUGUCUCUCAGAAAUACCACUAAGAUCCCCAAGUCAUUAGUGUCAACAUACACACGACUGGUUGGGGCAAACCCCACUGCCCGACCAAAUCCACAAGUUGUAGUGAAUAAUCUUCGUCAACAAGGAAAUUUCUUCAAUAAUGAUCUUAUCGAAACUCUCUUGUUUUUGGAAGAAAUUCAAAUCAAGGAUGCUAGUGAGAAGCACAGAUUCUUCUCAGAUUUAACACCAAAGCUUGACAACAUCCCUGACUAUGUGGCCAAGAACAAGGUUUUGCCCGCUCUUUUGGCUGCUCACGAGUUCUCCAAUGUGGGAUCUGUUGUACUUAAUCCCCUCUUUAAGAUAGGCAAGUUGCUCGGAGAUUCGGAGUAUCAGCAGUAUAUUCUCCCAUGUGUUGUGAAGCUCUUCUCCUCAAGUGAUCGUGCUACUCGACUCAAACUCUUACAGCAGAUGGACUCACUUGUAGAGCACAUGAACCAGUCAACAGUUAAUGACCAAGUCUUUCCUCAAUUAGCUACGGGAUUCUUAGACACCAACCCCACCAUACGGGAACACACAGUUAAGUCAAUAUUGUUUCUCGCACCAAAGCUCAACUAUAAUAAUCUUAACGUGGAAGUUUUGAAGCACUUUGCCCGUCUCCAGUCAAAGGAUGAUCAAGGAGGGAUCCGAACCAACACCACUGUUUGCCUUGGAAAGAUAGCAAACUACCUUCACCCAGAUGUGAGACAAAAAUGUUUAACCUCAGCAUUUACCCGAGCCAUGAGAGAUCCAUUUCCUCCAGCACGCACAGCUGGUGUAAUGGCCAUAGCAGCUACACAGCAGUAUUACCCAUUACAGGAAGUUGUUUCAAAACUCCUCCCAAAUCUUUGCCAAAUAACAUUGGACCCAGAAAAGUCUGUUCGAGACUCUGUUUUCCGUGUCGUAAAAGGAUUCCUCAGCAAAUUAGAAAAGGUUUCAGAUGACCCAUCACUGAAAGAACAAUUGGAGACUGAAGUGAGGAGCUUCAAUUCAGGUAAUUCACAGCCUACAACUUGGGCCGGCUGGGCUGUAGGGGCUAUCACAUCAAAAUUCUAUAAGAGUUCUUUAAGUGCAAAUACUCAGCAACAACCUCAGAAACAACAAAAGCCAUCCACCUCAUCCUCUGGUACCAUUACGCCCUCCACUAAGUCCAGUAGCUUAGCUUCCACACCUUCUCAGGACCAUAGCCGAUCCACUAGCAGAACUGCAACCAAACCAGCCAAUGACAAUGAUGAAUCAGAAUAUGAAGACUGGGAGAAUUCAAAGUGGAAACCUGUGGGGAACUUACCAGAGAUAAAAAAGAAUGUUUCAGAGCCUGUUAGUGUAUCUUCUGCCUUGGCAGCUGCUGAUGAUGAUCUGGAUGGUGAAGAUGGGUGGGGAGAAGAUGAAGAGUGGGGCAGCUUAGAGGAUGGGCUUGGUGGGGGUGUUGAAGACAACAAACUUGAACUUGCAGCUAACACAAGUAGUAAACCACCAUGGUCUGGCAGCUUGGGAUCCACAGCUCCAGAAGACAGUGAUGAUUUUUUCAAUUCUGUUAUUAGUAAUCAGGGUACAUCAAAAGCAGUAAGCCGCACCUCCUCACAAGUAGUGUCUCCCAGCAAGAGUUCAGUUGGGGGCUGGGAUGAGUGGGAUGACCAGCAAUCUUCAGAGGUUACCAUUAGUAGUAGCAAAGCAGAUGAGCAGCGUAGACAACGGGAAGAAAAAAAGCUACAAAGGCAGAAAGACAUUGAGGCAAAACGAGCAGCUCGUGCUGGCCCUAUGAAACUAGGAGCUAAGAAACUCUGAAAAACAGUUGGAAUAAAUUAUCUCCAGCCAGUUGUUCUGCUUGAUAUAAUGUUGGCAGCCCUCGGCGGAAAGAGCCUACAUUUGAAAAUCCGAGUUGGCAACUCAGGAAAGAGGGGCUAUACAGAGCGGCAAUUGGCCAGAGAAGAGCAGUUCACGAGGAGACUUUGUGGGGGUAGGUGCUGCCGGUCGUCUCUUUGACCAGAAGGCCGGUGUUCUUGAAAUAUAUGAUGAUGGAUCCAAUUGGCUGUUACUGUUGUGUUAAAGACCAGUUUGCUGCAUCAGUGGUCGUCAGCGUGGGUAGUGCAGCACCACCGUACUUAUUGAGGAUGAUGACUUGAAGAUGGAGGAUCCACUCAGUUUUCUCCUGGUGAAAUGACCCUUACUGCACUGCACUGCACCAGAAACACCAGUCCAGAUGUUAUUCUGAACAUUGUGGUGGCUGCCCCUGGGCUGCCCCUGUGCUGCCCCUG